AAAGGGUUGUUUCUGUUUUUGUUUUGGAGUUGUAAUUGAUGGUUGAUGUGUGUUAGUUUCUGAGAAGAAGGGGGUUACUGUUAUGAUUGUUUGUUGACUAUGUUUGAAUCUGUGAUAAUUUUGUCUAAUUGACCACCCCUUUUUAAAAAAAUUACCAAACUUUGCCCAGUGUUGGAGUAAUUGUUUCUUUGGAUUCUUCUUGUUUAUGGGGCGGGCAAGGUUGGGGGGCUUUGUCAUGGGUCCUUAAGAUUUG
This 253-nucleotide unclassified non-coding RNA is filed under the name Hevea brasiliensis (rubber tree). Lineage: Eukaryota; Viridiplantae; Streptophyta; Magnoliopsida; Malpighiales; Euphorbiaceae. The record is from RNAcentral.